CUCUGCUUAUGCUUUCCCAGGCCUGUAGUCCUUGUUCAUCAGAAUCCGGAGGGGGUAGUGCACAGCUCAGAAAGUCCUUUAAUGAGGGGCUGCUUGUUUUAUGACAUCUUGCACCCUCAGCAUCAGUAGCUGUAAGGACUGAAAGUCUCUCUUGCUGUUGCUUCACAGAGAAUCAGUAAGCAUGACUUUCAAGGAAGUGCUAACCCAUCCGUUCAAAACCUGAACUGAUCCUUGUAAGGAGGAAGGUCCAGACUCGACGAGCUUCUGAUCUCCCCAUCUUCCCUCGGUCCCGGACUCCAGGGCCCCAGGAAUCUCAGUGACCUCAGGGGUCUUCGUGAUCUUGGAGAUCUCAUGGGACUGGACAUGUCUAACCAGUAUGUCAGGAAUCCAAACAGAAGAAGUGGAAUCCUGUGGAAACACGCAAGCAUACCCUCUCCUGCAAGUUAACAGCACAUCUGGCCCUUUCCACUCUCCGGUGUAAUGAAACAGUAUAGAAUCGAAAUUUAUGAGCAAGCUUUUGGAGAAAGUGCAAUCUGGAGGAAUAUUUGGAGUCAAGAGUAGAGAAUGAGAAGG
This 573-nucleotide long non-coding RNA is filed under the name Capra hircus (goat). Its description in RNAcentral is "lncRNA (ENSCHIG00000007126.1)". Lineage: Eukaryota; Metazoa; Chordata; Mammalia; Artiodactyla; Bovidae. The record is from RNAcentral.